CGUAGGUGGCAAGCGUUGUCCGGAAUUACUGGGUGUAAAGGGCGUGUAGGCGGGAAGAUAAGUCAGAUGUGAAAUUCCGGGGCUCAACCCCGGCACUGCAUCUGAAACUAUUUUUCUUGAGUGCUGGAGAGGAAAGCGGAAUUCCUAGUGUAGCGGUGAAAUGCGUAGAUAUUAGGAGGAACACCAGUGGCGAAGGCGGCUUUCUGGACAGUAACUGACGCUGAGGCGCGAAAGCGUGGGGAGCAAACAGGAUUAGAUACCCUGGUAGUCCACGCUGUAAACGAUGGAUACUAGGUGUAGGAGGUAUCGACCCCUUCUGUGCCGCAGUUAACACAAUAAGUAUCCCACCUGGGGAGUACGGCCGCAAGGUUG
Molecule: ribosomal RNA, 372 nt
Filed under: uncultured organism
Description: bacterial SSU rRNA
Rfam family: Bacterial small subunit ribosomal RNA
Source: RNAcentral